RNAcentral lists this ribosomal RNA (497 nucleotides) under uncultured bacterium. Its description in RNAcentral is "partial 16S ribosomal RNA". It matches the Rfam family "Bacterial small subunit ribosomal RNA", at positions 28 to 507 of the family's 1533-position model. The record is from RNAcentral.
GAUGAACGCUGGCGGCGUGCCUAAUACAUGCAAGUCGAGCGAACAGACGAGGAGCUUGCUCCUUUGACGUUAGCGGCGGACGGGUGAGUAACACGUGGGUAACCUACCUAUAAGACUGGGAUAACUUCGGGAAACCGGAGCUAAUACCGGAUAAUAUUUCGAACCGCAUGGUUCGAUAGUGAAAGAUGGCUUUGCUAUCACUUAUAGAUGGACCUGCGCCGUAUUAGCUAGUUGGUAAGGUAACGGCUUACCAAGGCAACGAUACGUAGCCGACCUGAGAGGGGGAUCGGCCACACUGGAACUGAGACACGGUCCAGACUACUACGGGAGGCAGCAGUAGGGAAUCUUCCGCAAUGGGCGAAAGCCUGACGGAGCAACGCCGCGUGAGUGAUGAAGGUCUUCGGAUCGUAAAACUCUGUUAUUAGGGAAGAACAAACGUGUAAGUAACUGUGCACGGCUUGACGGUACCUAAUCAGAAAGCCACGGCUAACUACGUG